Molecule: ribosomal RNA, 522 nt
Filed under: uncultured bacterium
Lineage: Bacteria
Description: partial 16S ribosomal RNA
Rfam family: Bacterial small subunit ribosomal RNA
Source: RNAcentral
GAUGAACGCUGGCGGCGUGCCUAAUACAUGCAAGUCGAACGGUCUUUUCUAUGGAAGCUUGCUUCCACUGAGAAGAUAGUGGCGAACGGGUGAGUAACACGUGGGUAACCUGCCCAUAAGAGGGGGAUAACAUCCGGAAACGGGUGCUAAUACCGCAUAGUUUUCUUGAUCGCAUGAUCGAGAAAGGAAUGACGGCCUUUGUGCUGCCGCGUAUGGAUGGACUCGCUGCGUAUUAGUUAGUUGGUGAGGUAACGGCGCACCAAGACGAUGAUACGUAGCCGACCUGAAAGGGUGAUCGGCCACAUUGGGACUGAGACACGGCCCAAACUCCUACGGGAGGCAGCAGUAGGGAAUCUUCCGCAAUGGACGAAAGUCUGACGGAGCAACGCCGCGUGAGUAAAGAAGGUUUUCGGAUCGUAAAACUCUGUUGUCAGAGAAGAACAAGUCGGAGAGUAACUGCUCCGGCCUUGACGGUAUCUGACCAGAAAGCCACGGCUAACUACGUGCCAGCCGCCGCUGUAA